GCACCGGUGGUGCAUGGAACACACACGCAUAAAGUACAUACUCAUUGAUUUCACUAAUCGUGAAUGGGGUUCGAUUCCCCGCUGGUGCA
This is a non-coding RNA of Mycena leptocephala, 89 nucleotides long. NCBI's taxonomy places the organism in Eukaryota, Fungi, Basidiomycota, Agaricomycetes, Agaricales, Mycenaceae. The record is from the annotation of a GenBank genome assembly.